UGGAGGAAAGUAGGGGAUCGUAAGACCUUGCGCUUUUGGAGUGGCCGAUGCCUGAUUAGCUAGUUGGUGGGGUAAGGGCCUACCAAGGCAACGAUCAGUAGUUGGUCUGAGAGGACGACCAGCCACACUGGGACUGAGACACGGCCCAGACUCCUACGGGAGGCAGCAGUGGGGAAUUUUGGACAAUGGGCGAAAGCCUGAUCCAGCAAUGCCGCGUGAGUGAAGAAGGCCUUCGGGUUGUAAAGCUCUUUCAGUCGAGAAGAAAAGGUCGCGACUAAUAAUCGCGACUCAUGACGGUAUCGACAGAAGAAGCACCGGCUAACUACGUGCCAGCAGCCGCGGUAAUACGUAGGGUGCGAGCGUUAAUCGGAAUUACUGGGCGUAAAGGGUGCGCAGGCGGCUUUGUAAGUCAGAUGUGA
This 419-nucleotide ribosomal RNA is filed under the name uncultured ammonia-oxidizing beta proteobacterium. Its description in RNAcentral is "bacterial SSU rRNA". It matches the Rfam family "Bacterial small subunit ribosomal RNA", at positions 197 to 597 of the family's 1533-position model. Lineage: Bacteria; Pseudomonadati; Pseudomonadota; Betaproteobacteria. The record is from RNAcentral.